RNAcentral lists this ribosomal RNA (109 nucleotides) under Chelonoidis abingdonii (Abingdon island giant tortoise). The record is from RNAcentral. Lineage: Eukaryota; Metazoa; Chordata; Testudines; Testudinidae.
UUGGGGUACCCUCAUGGACCCCAGUUUGAGAAACACUGUCAUAACAUAUAAGCAUGGUUGGGCUUGGCCAGUACUCUCAUCGGGAGACCUCCAGGGAAAAAGUCCCAGU